UCAUUCUCAAUAGUCCAAUUUGAUUCUGUUAAUAUGUUAAUAUACAUCAUAUUGGACUUUUUCUCAAAUAUGUUAAAUCUUUUCAUUUUUGUGCCAUUUCAUAAAUGUACUUUGUAUUUGGCAUGGAGUCAAUGAUGUACUGCACCUGCUGUGCCCACAGAUCCCUUGGGGAACCCCUUAUACUUAGGUCACUUUGACUUUCGUGUCUGGACCCCACAGUCCUCAUCACAGUCAAGCGGGCAGAGACUGGGACUAAGCCAGGAACUGCUGUCCAGCAACAGCUCCCUGCAGGUCACCACCACAGUUGGGGGUCAGCCUCCACGGGACUGGAGGAGCUGACUCAUUCUGAUGCCUCAGUGUGAGUCCUAAAAGUAAGUGCCAGACGCCCACACACAGGUGUCUGCAUAUGCACAGAAAGUUCUAGAAGAACCCAGGAGGCAGUGUGAGCCUGAGAAGCAAAACCACAAAGAGAACAGAAGGAAACUCACGCACAAUGGUGGGAGAAGCAGAGCCAGUGCGCACAGAGCAGUAAAGGGCAGAACCAGGAGCCGACAGGAGUCUCGAAGCCUCAGGCGGGGCGCCAGGGAGGUCUGCAGCUGACAGUGAGGGGAUCAGUGCCGCCCAGGUCCUCUAUGGGAUUCCUGAAUUGUUGUGGAGACUGGAGCAGCUGGGAUCCCUCGCUCUCAUGUUUUCAGUUCUCUGUGGGGCUUGAAGGUGUGGCUGCCGUGUGGAAAUGGACUGAGGUAUUUUGGAUCCUUGAUCAAGUGAAGGUCAUUGACUAACAACAUCAACAAUGAAAUGAAUCUGAGAAAACAGGAAAUUGAGAGCAAGAGAAAAAAAAGUUAAUUAUACUGAUUUUGUAUAAGACCCCUUUGAACACAUUUUUAAAAAAUCAAAUAGAAGAUGCCCAGGUCCACUGUGCCUUGUGGAUAUUUGUCUCGUAUAGCCUAGAGAUCUACGCAUUCAUGUGGGAAUUGAAAAGGACCCACAUUUUACUAGAAGCAUCAUUCAUUUUUGCCUCAAAACAAACAAUGCCCACAUGUCAGAAGAACUUUCACAAUUCACAGGAACAGUGACCUAAUUAACCAACCAUAAAAUUGCCAAAUCCCUACUUCUCAUUGUUUAAUAUGCUUAGAAAACCCAUUCAAAUUGUGAAUUAUCAAGUGAGCUUACACUGAUAAAUAGAUCCAAUAUUUAGGAAUUUUUAAAUCUUCCAUUCCUUUUUUUUUUUUUUGGUCUUUUUAAAAAUAGACCAUUAGAAUAUGUCCUCCAGGUUUUAGAGAUGGGGGAGACAUAGAGAUGAUGGGGGAGACAUAGAGAUGGGGGAGACAUAGAGAUGAUGGGGGAGACAUGCUUCCCUUUAUUUCUCAGUAACUCAGCCAAAAACAAUCUGGAGAGAAUGCAAAGACAGCUACUGGAAACUCUGAAAAGUAGACGUGAGCCCAUCAGGGAAGAGCUAGAGAAUCUGAAAUCUACUCGAAAAAGUGAGUUUGAUACUUAGUAGGUCUUGUGUUCCUAUCCUAACUCGACACAGCCUGAAACUUGGAAGUGAGCAUGAUGGAGUGGAUACAGUGAGAUGCAAGAAAUCCUCCAGUUUGGGCUGGAAGGGAAAAAAGAGACCCCUAAAACUCAGAGACAGUGGAAGAAAUUCCUGGUGUUUUUUUCUUCUCUUUUUCUCUGUUCUUCCACAUAGCAAUUUAGUAUUGACUACAGCAUCUCUGUUACAAUGAUAGCACCGAAAUGUUGUAACCAUAUGGCCUGCAAAGCCAAAAAUAUUUAUCUGACCAUCUACAGGAAAAGUUUGCUGAUCUGGAUGAAAUAUUCUGAUAUUAAAUAUUCCAUUUUGUGAGUAUACCACAAAUUACCUUAAAAAUCUACCUCUAGUUGGCUAUUAGGCUUUUUGUUUGUUUUGUCUGUUUUCUGGCAUUAUAAAUUGUGCUGCUAUAAGCUGAUUUGUGUGUGUCUCUGGAUGGAUAUGAACAGUUUCCUAAGAUUGUGUACCCUGAAAAAUGCCAAGUCAUAGGGUAUGGCUGUAUUGCAGCUUUUCCAAUUUUUAAUUUAUCUUUUCACAUUUUCUACAGUAACUUUUGAUAAAUAAAAGUUCCCUCCAUACUCAAGUGAGCACAUUCCUGUAACAGAUUUCCUGUCGGUUCUCUUUCUCAGGAGAACCCUGACUAAUAUCUAUUUAUAUUCUCAUUUGUCACCAAAAAUAAACAAGGCUUUGGUGUUCUGAAUGGAAUUGUUUUGAAUUUUAGAAUAAUUUGGGGAAAAUGGCAUCAUUAAAUAUUGAUUGUUCUCAUUCAUAAAUAUGUGAUAUGUCUCCAAUUAUAGCUCUUCUUUUAUGCCUUUAACAAGUUUCUUUUUAUAAUUCAGUGAAUAUGGAGCCUGCAUAGCUUUUGGAAGGUUUUGUAGUUUUACUCUGUCUACUAAAAAGCAUAAAAAAAUUUGCAAGCCUCAAUGCAAUUAGAAAUUAAGAAUUAAGCUACUAAUGGUGCAACUCUGUAAGCACAAGGCAUAAAAAACAAGUGUUAUGGCCAAGCCACACAGUGAAAGAGGUAUGAAUCACUGCAAACACUGGUUGAAGGGAAGCUGUCCUCCAAACAGAAGCAUCCAUUUUUGUACUUUUUAAAAAUUUUUAUUUAUUUAUUUUUUGAGAUGUAGUCUCGCUCCGUUGCCCAGGCUGGAGUGCAAUCUCAGCUCACUGCAACCUCCACCUCCCAGGUUCAUGCCAUUCUCCUGCUUCAGCCUCCCGAGUAGCUGGGACUACAAGUGCCCGCCACUAAGCCCAGCUAAUUUUUUGUAUUUUUAGUAGAGACAGGGUUUCACCGUGUUAGCCAGGAUGGUCUCGAUCUCUGGACCUCGUGAUCCACCUGCCUCAGCCUCCCAAAGUGCUGGGAUUACAGGCAUGAGCCACCAUGCCCUGGCCCCAUUUUUGUACUUUUAAGGGAGUGAGAAAUAAACUACUUUUGCUUUUAAGCCGUUAUAAAAUUUGGCAUGAAUUUGCUAAGCAACUCAACAUUAAUCUACUGUCCUUGAAUUAAUUAUAAAAGGUGCAGACAGUCUUGAAUUAAAAUUGGGAAAAGUUCUAAUACUUUUUUUUUGGUAGAACAUUUUUACCAAUUUAAAAAAGUGAUCAUUAUAGAUUAACUUGAAAUCACAAUGCAGAAUUGUGUUAUGCCAUAGAUCACUCAAUAAUAUGCUUCUCUGCCAAUCCUAGUAGACUUCACACCUUGUGCUAUAUUAUUAGUCUUCCUUUUAUGAGGCAGACAGUACCCAUUUCAUAAAAUAUGAAGACUAUAGCUUCGGGCCGGAGGAUUUGAAUUUUCAUACUAGCGGUUAUAAUAUGUGAUAUCAUGAGCUUGUUUUUAUUGUCCUAGGAGGCUGAUAUUCCUAAAUCUAUUCAUAAGGAUGGCAUAUCUACCCAGUGGGCCUGCUGGGACUCCAGUUACCCGAUGCACAUACAUUGCUUGGUGGUCAGUAAAUGUUAUUUUGCUUUCUUUAUUCCUUUGUGGAAAAAUUUCAGGUAGAGAAGAAACCUGAAAUAAUUUGAAGAACUUUAAAAUUUUUUUCACCCACUAAUUUAUAUUCUCAUUAGCAAAAAGAACCGAAUAUUGGUAGCUCUAUACUUUAUUAUAAUAAAGAUGUGGAACUUCUUGAUUACUCUUUCCUUCUUCUACGUUGACUCAUUCUAUCACUAUUAAUUCACUCAGGAGAUGCUGAUUGAGCAGCUCCUUUGUAUAGAUGUUAAUAGCAUGGUUCUCGCCAUAGGUCACAGAGGUUGGUUUGCCGAGCAACUCUGAGAACCCGUUUUUAAGUUCCCUGACUCUCCUAUUCACUGGAAUGGAAUGCCUUGCUGUCUGGGCCCUCCUUGCUUCACCUUCCAAUGAACUGAAAUCAUCACACUGAUCCUAUUGUAGCGGAGAGUGGUGUGUUAAGACUGGGGGUUAUGGUUAUGGUUUUGAGACCAGCCUCAGCUCUGUCGCUUUCUUAUCUCUUCAGAUGCAGCAGAUAGUUACCUCUAACUUUUAGUUUGCCUCAGACAUUAAGAAUAAAAUCAUAUUCAGCAUAAUUUAGGUGUCAUUCUCCAUAUUCCACUGGUGCUAACAAACAUUUUUAUAUUGUUCCCAUGUGUCAACAAUAGUAAUCUGUGGCUCAUUAUAAGUGACAGCAAAUGUCAACAAGCCUGCCUCCUGGAGAUUUGUUUGUAAAGAUUCCUUAUCAGUUGUUGUUAUUUAUACCCCUGGCUUCUAUAGUUAUUGAUUAUUCUAUAUAUUUUCCUCCUUCAAGUGAAUGUACAAAGAGACUAAGAAAACCUCAGUCAAACUUGGAAAUUUCCUUUGUAAUAUUCUUUUUAAAGUUAGUUAUGGUAAGUUCCUUAUUAUCUAUCUGUUAAGAAUUGGGAUGCUGAGCUUGGUUUGAUUUUCUGGUUAACAAGAAAUUAGCCAAUCAUCAAGAAUAUAAAAGGAAACACUGGUUAGCAAAGAAUUAGAAUUACAAAAGCAAUGAAUUUAUACCUAAGCCCUUGAAGGUUACACUGGUUUUGAUUCAUAAGGUGCAUGCUUCUGGUGUCCAAGUGCAAUAUUCCAAACAUCAAUUAUCACUGUACAUUGGUUUAUUAAAUAUUUUCUGAUUGAUUUGCUUUAUCUAGAUUCUACAUAAUGCUUUGUACUAAACUAUGAAUACUUCGCAUUUAUGGAAAAAUGUCCAGCUUGAGAUCACAGAGCAAUUGAAGAUUAUCUUCCAGAGACUUAUUUUUCUCCUUAAACUUUUGUUUCCUUAAUUUGGGAAACAAAGCUAGUCACUUUCUGUCACAUUUCUUUUCUUUUCUUUUUUUUUUUUUUUUGAUACCGUGUCUUGCUCUGUUGCCCAGGCUGGAGUGCAGUGGUGCAAUCUUGGCUCACUGCAACCUCCGCCUCCCAGGUUCAAGCAAUUCUCCUGCCUCAGCCUCCUGAGUAGCUGGGACUACAGGUGUCCACCACCACACCCGGCUAAUUUUUAUACAUUUAGUACAGACGGGGUUUCACCAUAUUGGCCAGGCUGGUCUCAAACUCCUAACCUUGUGAUCCGCCCGCCUUGGCCUCCCAAAGUGCUGGGAUUACAGGCGUGAGCCACCGCACCUGGCCUGUCACAAAAUUUCUAUCUCAUCUUAUUCUAUCCCAUGUCAUCCACUGCCGUUGUACCACCAAACUCUACAUUGUCCUCUCUCAGAAUGUCCUCCUGUUCCUUGGAGAUAGCACUGUACUGCUGUUACCAUAGAUGCAACCCUCAGGCUUCAUGCCUGCAUGGCUUCUGCACCUGGGUACGUCCUGGAGAUCUUUGCAGCCACCUAAACGGACACGCUACCAUCUGUUCCAGCACUCUGUACUUGGUUCUUAUCUUGCUGGGCAUGUGUUAGUCUGUGUUUCAUCUGUUUAUAUGUGUGUCGCUUCUAGUAAACUCUGAGCUCCUCAGCUUAAAAGUCUUAUUUUGUGCAAUUUCUUUUAAUCACCAGUAUUUGAUACAUCACUUGGACACUUAAAGAAUAAAUGAAAUAAAUGAAGCAUUUCUUCCAGUGUACAAAACAACUGAAUAAAUGAAUCAAUUAAUUAUAAACUAACAAAUAGAAGUGCCAAGGAAGUGGUUAAAUGAUUUGCUCCUGGUUAACACAGAGCUUGGGAUGGCCACCAACUCUCACCUCAUCAUUCUAUCUACUGACUAGUUGGCCUUGAAUUUGUUAAUUUAAAAAAAUUUGAAGUUUCAAUGUUCUUGCAGCAAACGCUAACAUACAUACUUAAUGAUUAAAGGCAAGACCUCAAGGGCAGAUUGGAAAACUAAGAACAAUGCUAAAAAAAAAAAAGAAAAUGACUUGCAGGGUUUUUACUAAUUUCCAAAAUUAAGUAACAAAUCACUGACUUGAAAUAUUUUUCACAGCAGCAGUGAUAUCAUCUAGGUAUGGUUUAAAACACACAUCUCAAUUUUUCCUUUCCUUUAGCUGAAAUAAUAAAUAAGAUAGAUUUUGCUAUGAUUAGGAAGGAAAGAUAUCAGUGCCUAGAUUAUCCCAUAUAAAGGAGUUCACUCACUUUUAAGAUGCAAUCUAUUUUUGCCUUAAAUGUCUUCUGCAAACAGCCUUGCCACUUCAGUGCUUGCGAGUUGAUGUACGUGUCAAGAGAACUGAGCCAGGUCCCGGCUGCGCCGCAAAUCAUUCACGUGGUGCAGCUGGACACAUGUUCUGUUAGUCAAAUAAGCAGAUUAGAUUCAAUGACUAUGAAACUCUCUUCCAGGUCAAACAGCCUGUUAUUUGUGCAUUCCAGUAUGAUCGCUGCCAUUUAUUUAAAGUAUUUCUACCUAUACGGAUAUUAGGUACUAGCGACUCAAGUACACUUUAGAAUUAAUUGUUUAAAAGAGCAAAUAAACCUCUCACCGCAAUGGCAAUUAAAGACACCCAGUCCUGCCGUGUGCUUUCUCCAUUUGCUUCUAGUGGCAGUUUCGUGUGAAUUUUUGGUGAUGAUGCUCCACGGAACAUCUGCAGAUGUGCUGUCAAUUUGGACAGGGUUCUAAAGUCCUCUCAGCUGCCCCAGUGGAACUAGGGUACCUGUGUCUGACCAUGUUGACCCUCGGGAGGGACAGCACUCGUCUGAUUGAAUGCGCUUAUUAAGUUGCCCAACAGGCAGCCACUAAGAAAAGUUGACACUUAAAACCACUAUGCCAUGGUUGUGGUGGAGAGAGGAAUCUAAGAGACUCGAGGUGCAUGACACCUCCAGUCCCUUCAGCCCCAACCCAUAGAAUCUAUGCAGCCAGUAAAUGUGUCUCAGAUGAGUGCCGGGUGCAGAGCACCACACUGGGUUCAGAGGUACAGCAGUGAGAAGGAAAGACAGUCUCUUUUCUCGUGGCGGUGGGAAAGAGAGACGGUAUCCAAUAUGCCCUGUGAUAGCAGCCAGGACGGGCAAUCAUCGAGAAAGGAAGCUAAGCAGUCAGAGGUGCUCAGGUUGAGUGACAUUCAAGCAGAGACCCGAAGACAACGAGGGAAAGAACCACGCCAAUGUGGAUAUUGGAGAGGUGGUUGUGGGGGUCACCUGGGCCAGGCACUCCCCAAAGAUCAAGUAGGAGGAAGGCUGCUGGGUUGGGAAAUAUGGAGGUCAUUGUUUGCCGCGACAAGGCCAGUUUUGGUGGACUGGUGGGGCUAACCCACAUGGAGUGGUUCAAGGGAGGACAGGAGGAGGAGACGUUGAGAGUGGGGAGUGCAGACUGGGGAAGAAUUCUGCUCCUGGGCCACCAAGCACUGCUACAUACCCUGAGCAGCUGGCACAGCUGAACCAGAACCAGCACCCUCAGCAGAAGCAGCCAGAGGAUCAGCACCAAGGACACAGGGAGAAUGAGGUGGCAAGACAGGCACAGACCCACCAGUGCCUGCCUUGAGGGCAGUGAAAGACCAGCUCCCCCAGCCACAUGAUGUGUGUCUGCAGAGGCUUUAGAUAACCAUGUAUAUAGAGCACCCUUGACAUAAGUGGUUCCAUCAUCUUACAGUUCAUAGGACACACUGCAACGGAGAGUUUGCCUAAUAAAGAUUGCAUCCAACCAGAUAAGGAUAUAAACACACUCUUCCACUAUCGGCCCUCCCCAGAGGACUCUGGCCAAAAAAAGAGCAGGACUUCAGCUGUUCAAAACGGUCACGUUAAUUGACAUCGUCUUGCUGUCACUUGUGAUAAGCACCCAACAUCUGCCCACAUCGAAGACUCUUCCUUGCAAGACGAAUUGCUGGGGCCAGACGGGGAGAUUCUUUUAAUCUUUUUGUCACUCUCCCUGUACUGCCUUGUUAACCCUUUUUCCUAUCUUUUCUUAACGCUAAAUGUGACUUUGUUUGUUGUGGAAUGUUUAAUCUGUAACGUUUAUAUAUUGAUUAAGUAUACUAUUAUGUAUGGUUUGCAAUAUUGACUGACUUAUGGAGUGGCUUGAACCUGUGUCCCCACGGCUCUGACUACCGAGUGAAUGGGAAGUACUAAGGAGAACUGUCUGCUUGGGAACUCCAUGAAGUUCGUGGCUUUUGUGAUUGAAAUAGCAUCAAUAAAAGGUUGACACUGUGGAACAACACAAGCCUGCAUGGACCUGGUUAUCUCUGACCUCGCACCACUCACGAGACCAUACCUGAGCCCUUCUCCACUUUGGCAGAACAGUUGCGUGGCCUCUCUUCAUAUAAUACCUCUCCGUACACCGUACACCACAGGUCAAAGAAAGGAUAUAUGCUCCCUGUGAAGACUAGUGGAACUGUCCCUCCUGGUCCUCCUACAGACUUCCUCUGGCCUAAUGGGUGCACCAUUGCAUUAUAUCUGCCAUCUAUAUACACAUAUACCUUUCAACCCUGCACUCUCUGAGAUGACUGGACUCAUGCCUAAAUAACUGAUGCUGUCCCUAGUGUAAGGUAAGCACUCAAUAGUUUCUCAGGAAAUGAAUAUAAUAUUUUGGCUGUUUAGAGGCUUUCCUUCACUUCGUUUUCUGUGUCCUCUUAUUUAAAAAGAAGUGCUCACUAGAGGUUACCUGAAGACAUAUCUGAUCCUUGAAACCUGCAGUAGUCUAACACAGAGGCCAAGAUCACAGGUCUUCAUAAAAGUAAUACUUUCCUCAUGACAAUGAAGUGCCACGGGGCCAACUCAAAAAUUGAGACUGAGCCUGGGAGGCCAUGUGGGCUCUCGGCUUUGUGCAGGCAGGAAUUCGACAGCCAGCCAACAGAGUGAAGGGAAAGCAAGUUUACUAAGAAAGUAAAGGAAUAACAGGGUGGCUAUGCCAUAGGCAGAGCAGCCCUGAGUGCUGCUGGUUGGCUUUUUCUAUGGUUAUUUCUUGAUUAUAUGCUAAACAAGGGGUGGAUUAUUCAUGAGUUUUGGGGGAAUGGGAGGACAGUUAUGGGAACUAAUGUUUCCUCCCCCUUUCAGACUAUAUAGGGUAAUUCUUGAUGUUGCCAUGGCAUUUGUAAAUUGCCAUGGCAUUGGUAGGAGUUUCUUUGAGCAAGUUAAUGUAUUAUAAUUAGCAUAUAAUGAGCAGUGAGGACAACCAGAGGUUGCUUUUGUGGCCAUCUUGGUUUUGGUGGGUUUUGGCUGGCUUCUUUACUGCAUCCUGUUUUAUCAGGUUUUUUUUGUUUUUUUGGUUUGUUUGUUUCUUGAGCUGGGUCUUGUAAAACAGUCCUGCCAACUUCCUAUCUCAGAAUCACAUGUCUCUCAUUGUCCUAGCUCAGGGUGAUAGCACGGGAGGCAUGCCAGGUUACUUGUCACCCAAUAUUCAUUCUCCUGUUCUGAGUCAGAAAUGAAUGAGGGGCUUGGCUGUGAUGUUCUCCUCUGGACAGAGCCCUCACUUCCCAGCUGACUUGAGGCUGGUGUGGCCUUGUGUCCAGGUAUGUGGCCAACAGAGAAGUAAGUAGAAAUCUUACCAAUUCUUCCAGGAAGUCUUCUCAAAGAGAGACUGGACGACCUUCUCUCUUUCUCUCUCCAUCCUGCUGCUUGGGAAAGGGAUGUGACAUCUGGAGUCCUGGCAGCCACCUUGGAGCACAAGAUUAAGAGCCCCAGCUAAGGCAGGCAGAGUGGCUGGAGGAAGGGAGCAAGGGCCCCUGGGAAACUUACUGCUUACCCUGGGCUUCUUUAAAGUGAAAAAAAAAAAAAAAAAAAAGAAAUUCCACUUCCUAUCAGCUCUUUUAUUCUGGAUGUCUCAGCCAAACACACCCAAACCCAAUACUGACAUAAGUUAUUUGUCAGUAUUGACAAAUAUUUGUAAAGUCUUCACUUUUGAAAUUAAAUAUAUUCACCGUGCUGCGUAAAGUAUAAUAUGAAUGCUUUUUUAAAAGUUAUUUGUUUACUGGGAUUAUAUUUGCCUGUGUGAGCCAAAAGAAGCAUUUCUGCCUAUUACCGUGGGAGUUUUCAGAGCAUGGGUCUAGGUGGCGAUAUCCCCACUGAAUCAAAAGGCAGACUCAGAAGUGGUUUUACAAAGAGAAAUAUGAACACUUUUCUCAUUGUGAGAUAACCAUUACAUCUCAGUUUAAAGAUCCGAAGCUAAUUUUGGAAAUUAUUUUUAAGGCACAGAGGAAAAACAUCAUGUGAGCUCACAGGUCUGACACAGUUGUGAACAGCUUGUUUUCCUAUAGAAAUGCUGUGGUGGCUGCCCGGGCUGGGGCAUUUGCAUUUCAACCAAAUGUUCUUUCAAAGUCAGAGCCAGAGCAGCUAGAAGCUUCCUUAAAACCAGGUGAACCCUAAAAGUAGAAAUAGGAAAAACAGCGGCCUCCACUGUGUCCUUUCACAUCUCAGCCUCUGAACUUCGGCCUGAGACACUGGAAAGCUGCACCCUUCCUCUGUCUCCUCAAAUCCUGCAAGUCCCAAGGCACAUCACCUGACAUCAAAAGGCCAUCCUCAUUUCAGGUGGAUGUCCCAUUUGACUGAUAGCAGCUACUUGUGUUUCAGAAUAGGAUUUGCAUAAAAAUCACUUGGUAUCCUUGUGAGCAGGGAGUCUCCCAAGGCCUGACUCCACAUUCUGCAGCAUUAGGUGAGCACAUGACCCAAAAACCUACGUCAUUUAUUACUUCCCAGGCACACUGACUCAGAUGCUCCUUGGACCAUUCUCAGGAGUAUUGGUGUCGAUAUUACUGAUCUCAAAAUGAAACCAUCCCAGUUUCCCCAUGGAAAUGAUGUUUACCAGGUUUGGAUGGUUCUUUUGAAUAAACAAAUUGAUCCUCUGAUCUUAAAACUUGAAACUUACAUUUGUCUUAUCUGAGUUCCUUUCUUGGGCAAGGAACUGAAACUCACUAGAUGAACACAUCCAGGCUCUAAGACACCAGACCCCUCAUCCUUCAUGAUUGCUUCCUCAUGCCUCCCUAAUUUCUGUUUUUCUGCAUGUAGUUACAUUCCUGUGCACUAUAUUAAAAACCCCAAUGUUAGUCAGCUGGCGAGACAGGUUUGAGAAUUAUCUCUUGUCUUCUUGGUUGACACUACUCAAAUAGUGCUUUCUUCCUGGACAAUAUUUGUCAUCUCAGAGAUUGUCUUUCCAUGCAGUGAGCAAAGAGACCUGGACCUAACCCCUGGUGUUUUAGUGACAAAAAUUCAAAUCUUAAAAGGUGUUAUAUAUCAUACCCUCCACUCCUGUAUGUCUAUAUUUGAGCUCAAAAUUAAAUAAAUCUUCAUUUAACUGGGUUGGGAGUCCACACUUCCUUUCAUGCCCAAACUUUCGGUUGGCAUUGGGUGUACUGAAGGGAGAACCCACUGCUGAGCCUGGCUUCCCGGAGGUCAGCUCGCCCUCCAGGAAUUUGUAAUCUACUUGGGAAAUCAAAUGAUGGAAUACCAAGCACAAUUAUUAACUAUUCUUAAGCAAUUACCUAAAGGUUUGAAGUGUGCAUUGUGCAUUUAUGUAUUUGUAAGGUUCUACCACCUGGACCUUGCCAGAUUUUGAUGCAUUUUGGCAUGUUCUCGUACCUUGGAUCCUAAACAUUCUGGCUGUGGCUCUAUGACUCCUUUCUCUUCUUGGUUUUGAAUGUGGCUCUCCUAGCCGUACCUGAAGAGAGGCUAAGGGUGAAAAGACAUAAAUAUACCAUUUGUGAAAUUAAAUAAUUUAAACUUUAAGAUGUUGGAAUUUUAAAUUAUUCUGAGCCUUGAGAGGAAUGUGGCUAUGCAGACUGAGUCACAUAACAGGGAGCAGCAACUCCUUUUUUUUUUCUAUAAAUUAUUAAGAUCAAACAGUGCCAGAAGUAAGACCCUCUUGGAUCACUGUUCCUCCUCAUGGAGUAAUAAUCUUCCCUGGAAUAUAGCAAUCUGUAAGCAAUCAAUUGCUACAGUAUAUGCACUAGUCUUGUCUGGAAAAUGUCCUAAUCCUGCUAAUAAUAUUUCUAUCUAGGUGAAACUAACUUCUCCACUUUAGAAUGCUAACACCAUUCAUGUGGAGUUAGUGUUUCCAGGUGGCUCUCCUCAAGUAUUGCCCUCAAAUAAACUCUAUACUAAAUCAUAUUUUCUGAAUCUCAUUAUUUAAAGAUGAUGUGCUCAUGC
Long non-coding RNA from Gorilla gorilla gorilla (western lowland gorilla), 11987 nucleotides. RefSeq lists it as uncharacterized. The transcript has 3 exons. NCBI's taxonomy places the organism in Eukaryota, Metazoa, Chordata, Mammalia, Primates, Hominidae. The record is from RefSeq and is a predicted model, not a curated record.